RNAcentral lists this ribosomal RNA (265 nucleotides) under uncultured bacterium. Its description in RNAcentral is "partial 16S ribosomal RNA". It matches the Rfam family "Bacterial small subunit ribosomal RNA", at positions 90 to 354 of the family's 1533-position model. The record is from RNAcentral.
CUUUAGUGGCGGACGGGUGAGUAACGCGUGGGUAACCUGCCUUACACAGGGGGGAUAACACUUAGAAAUAGGUGCUAAUACCGCAUGAGCGCACAGGACCGCAUGGUCGAGUGUGAAAAACUGAGGUGGUGUAAGAUGGACCCGCGUCUGAUUAGCUAGUUGGUGAGGUAACGGCCCACCAAGGCGACGAUCAGUAGCCGGCCUGAGAGGGUGGACGGCCACAUUGGGACUGAGACACGGCCCAAACUCCUACGGAAGGCAGCAG